UAUUCUGCCCUACAGGGAAGGAUGAGAAGCUUCGACUAAGGUUCGACUCGAGCGAAGCGAGAGAACGUUGCCGCAGGCAACGGCCCGAAGGGCGAGGCGCUUUAGCGCCGAGUAAUCCUUC
Molecule: small RNA, 121 nt
Filed under: Klebsiella pneumoniae subsp. pneumoniae
Lineage: Bacteria; Pseudomonadati; Pseudomonadota; Gammaproteobacteria; Enterobacterales; Enterobacteriaceae
Description: partial RtT sRNA
Rfam family: RtT RNA
About the family: This family represents a bacterial cis-regulatory element known as RtT RNA.
Source: RNAcentral